Molecule: ribosomal RNA, 1346 nt
Filed under: uncultured bacterium
Lineage: Bacteria
Description: bacterial SSU rRNA
Rfam family: Bacterial small subunit ribosomal RNA
Source: RNAcentral
GACGAACGCUGGCGGCGUGCUUAACACAUGCAAGUCGAACGGAAAGGCCCUGCUUUUGUGGGGUGCUCGAGUGGCGAACGGGUGAGUAACACGUGAGUAACCUGCCCUUGACUUUGGGAUAACUUCAGGAAACUGGGGCUAAUACCGGAUAGGAGCUCCUGCUGCAUGGUGGGGGUUGGAAAGUUUCGGCGGUUGGGGAUAGACUCGCGGCUUAUCAGCUUGUUGGUGGGGUAGUGGCUUACCAAGGCUUUGACGGGUAGCCGGCAUGAGAGGGUGACCGGCCACAUUGGGACUGAGAUACGGCCCAGACUCCUACGGGAGGCAGCAGUGGGGAAUAUUGCACAAUGGGCGGAAGCCUGAUGCAGCAACGCCGCGUGCGGGAUGACGGCCUUCGGGUUGUAAACCGCUUUCGCCUGUGACGAAGCGUGAGUGACGGUAAUGGGUAAAGAAGCACCGGCUAACUACGUGCCAGCAGCCGCGGUGAUACGUAGGGUGCGAGCGUUGUCCGGAUUUAUUGGGCGUAAAGGGCUCGUAGGUGGUUGAUCGCGUCGGAAGUGUAAUCUUGGGGCUUAACCCUGAGCGUGCUUUCGAUACGGGUUGACUUGAGGAAGGUAGGGGAGAAUGGAAUUCCUGGUGGAGCGGUGGAAUGCGCAGAUAUCAGGAGGAACACCAGUGGCGAAGGCGGUUCUCUGGGCCUUUCCUGACGCUGAGGAGCGAAAGCGUGGGGAGCGAACAGGCUUAGAUACCCUGGUAGUCCACGCUGUAAACGGUGGGUACUAGGUGUGGGGUCCAUUCCACGGGUUCCGUGCCGUAGCUAACGCUUUAAGUACCCCGCCUGGGGAGUACGGCCGCAAGGCUAAAACUCAAAGGAAUUGACGGGGCCCCGCACAAGCGGCGGAGCAUGCGGAUUAAUUCGAUGCAACGCGUAGAACCUUACCUGGGUUUGACAUGGAUCGGGAGCGCUCAGAGAUGGGUGUGCCUCUUUUGGGGUCGGUUCACAGGUGGUGCAUGGCUGUCGUCAGCUCGUGUCGUGAGAUGUUGGGUUAAGUCCCGCAACGAGCGCAACCCUUGUUCACUGUUGCCAGCACGUUAUGGUGGGGACUCAGUGGAGACCGCCGGGGUCAACUCGGAGGAAGGUGGGGAUGACGUCAAGUCAUCAUGCCCCUUAUGUCCAGGGCUUCACGCAUGCUACAAUGGCUGGUACAGAGAGUGGCGAGCCUGUGAGGGUGAGCGAAUCUCGGAAAGCCGGUCUCAGUUCGGAUUGGGGUCUGCAACUCGACCUCAUGAAGUCGGAGUCGCUAGUAAUCGCAGAUCAGCAACGCUGCGGUGAAUACGUUCCCGGGGCU